UACUGUGGAAGGGUCACGGAAGGAUUAUUGAAAUGUAAAUUAAAGAGCGACGCACAGGGAGCUUUGGUUGGUCUUAGUUCACCCAAAAGGUGUGUUUGGGCAGUAUCCUUAAAUUCGCUCCUGCAAAGUUAUUUACUUAUCCGGCGCUACAACCACUUUUCGGUACAAAGUAGUUUUAGAUAUUUUCUUCGCCAACGUUCUCCGUUCAGGAAGAGCCUAUUAAGAUGUUUAUCGAUUUCACCAAAUUGUAUGUGUCACCGUACUCUCAACGAUACGAAAAUAAGCUCCCGAAGUGUAUUCAAUGUUGGCCAUUAUGUUGUUGUCCCUUUCCUCAAAACCCAACGUGUGACAGACAGGCUCCAAAACGAAGUGCGCCCGGCGACAAUUAAUUCCCAAACCACUUAGGAACCCAUCCAUCCCAUAGAUCCUUUCGAUUGCGAUCUGUCUGUCUGGCGUGAAGGUUCUAUCGUGCCGUUGUGCCAAACCUUCUUUGCGAUCCGAAAGCUACUGCUACGAAGGAGAAAAAGAACACGAAACACGGUAAGAAAUAGAGCCAAAGCAUAGGAAAUCCUCUCCAGUACGGUUGUCUACCAUCACAGCGAACCAGCCAGCUGCGUGUCUCUUUUGCUAGAUUGACGAAUGCAGGAACAAAGCAAGCCUUGCCAAAUGCUGCAAAAGCGCUUAGUAAGUAAUCGCUUCGAAGGAUAAUUCACUUCCGCAACGUUGUGGGCGAGCGGUGCAUUACGCCAAUCGGGUACAAUCCUAAGGGAAGCAUUAAUUUCCGGUACGGACGUCGUACUUCGAUCCCACCGUGGUAAUGGUGAGUGCUAGACGACAAGUUGCUCUUGCUUUGACGGUACGUAUCCUCAAGGUAGAGCAUGAAAAAUCGCCUCCAACUCGCCCAAACGCAUAAAAAUGGCGAGCAUUGCACACCGCGACUGUAGCUGCUAAGAGCAUUAAAAAGUUACAUAUUACUGCCCCCUACUAACGAACCCAGUACACUGGAACUUUCCUUGAAAGGGGGGAAAGAAAAGAAAUAACUCAAGAUGAACGACAGGAAACGUGCCGUCCUUUCGUUUGAUCGUUUGAAAAAUAACGAAGAUCUGUUUGCACGAGCAGUCUAUGGGCUGGUGCUUGCAAGGUAGGAACCUGCGAAGGAUGCGGCAAUUGAACUGCAAAAUCAACAUUGACGAGUUAAGCCAAGAUAAGGUGGAAAAAGAGAAGCGGGUGCACAAGGGCAAGGAUGCUAGAACGCUAUCAGAGUCUCGUGGACAUCCACGCGUAAACACCAACAGACUGUUGGCAGCAGUUGAUAAAUGGAAAUCUUCUCUAAAAAGCACACGUACUUCUUGACCUUGUUUGACCGAUGAUUCUUGUUUCCAAGGCCGUUUAAAGGGAAACGGGAAAACAAGAUUAUCGUUGUACGGGUUGUUGUUGUGGAUAAAAGGCUUGAUUGAAAAUGUCCUUCGCCUCGUG
This is a long non-coding RNA of Anopheles merus, 1476 nucleotides long. RefSeq lists it as uncharacterized. The transcript has 3 exons. The record is from RefSeq and is a predicted model, not a curated record. Lineage: Eukaryota; Metazoa; Arthropoda; Insecta; Diptera; Culicidae.